UGUUUGCAAAGGUGCUUCUUGGAGUUGC
Molecule: non-coding RNA, 28 nt
Filed under: Mus musculus (house mouse)
Lineage: Eukaryota; Metazoa; Chordata; Mammalia; Rodentia; Muridae
Source: RNAcentral